Long non-coding RNA from Oreochromis aureus, 314 nucleotides. RefSeq lists it as uncharacterized. The record is from RefSeq and is a predicted model, not a curated record. Lineage: Eukaryota; Metazoa; Chordata; Actinopteri; Cichliformes; Cichlidae. The transcript is spliced from 4 exons.
CCAGUUCCAUUAUCAUAAAGUCUACGUAGUGAGCUACUGAGAAAGAUUGCAAACAAGGAGCAAAUCAAAUGACACUUUGUAAGGGCUUCUUUUUGCCUGCUCCUCCAACAGCGUGCUGACAUUUUAGCAUUAGUGGCUCUGUCAGAGUGUGAAAGAAUCAACCCUUACCGUCCCCCCAUGACACCCCAGGAUAGAACUCUGUCUGCGAGGGCGGUUAAUGGAGGAAGAAUGUCAAAAAGAGGACAACGCAUCCCGUCUCCCCCCCACCCCUCUCGUGUCCCACACACAAGAUAAGGAGAUGCUGUAUGCCAGGC